This is a long non-coding RNA of Ictalurus punctatus (channel catfish), 2408 nucleotides long. NCBI's taxonomy places the organism in Eukaryota, Metazoa, Chordata, Actinopteri, Siluriformes, Ictaluridae. The record is from Ensembl.
CACUGGGAGGCACAACAAACCGGCAUUCCAUGUAGUGCUUACGCCACUUGAAAUGAGAUUUGUUGCUGAUUUCUCUAAUCGUAACUCGCCUCUUGCGCAUGUAGGCAGCUGCAGUAUUACAAAAUACAGGAUUUAACUGCACAGUGGCUGCUAAGAAUGACAACAAAGCCAACAAAGCUUGCGGUUCAGUCACCGUGUUGUGUAUUGAUCAAGUUGUAUUGGGACGGCAGGAGAAACCGCAGAGCCAGUUGAGCCGCACGGAACUGAAGCUGGGAAGUGAGUUCAGCGAGAUCUUUAGCGGACAAGAACAAAAUGGUGAGCGUGUGCAUUUGAAUGGUUUAUUUUAUUGUUUGUAAUUUACCGUCUUUCUCCAAUGUGUAUUCAGAGUUAUUGGAAAGAUACCCCAUGGGCAAUGUUUCUGUCUCAUAUUCUGCAGAAGUGUUUAGUUGUUGUUGUUUUUUUUUUUUGUUUGUUUUUUUGGCCAAGCACAAACCACAGUUCAUGUUUGCAGAGGGCAAAGAGCAAAGUCUAAAGCAAAAAGUGUUUGAACUCUACAAUGAGAUUUCCGGUUGUUGUUUUAUUUAUUUAUUUAUUUUUUUCCUUCCUCGCUGUGGCUCUGAGUGGCGAAGAUGCUGCAUUGUGUAACCUUGGUGUCAGCAGUCUGUGCCGGUCAUUUGAAUGUGCAGGCACAUUGCCAAAGAUGAAGUUAAUGACCUUAGAUGCCACAAUCAGCCUUGAUGAUAGUGCCUUGCAAUAUGAGGGAAUUGGUAUUCAUCGUGUCCACUGCAAGCGAUGAAUUAUUAAUGCCUGGCUGCAAGUAAACUUUUCGCCGUGUAGAGGUGGGGAGGGCAGCUGUGGGCUAAACAGUGGGAAGGGAAGAGAAUAUGAAACGCACAGCUCCGUCAUGAAGUGGCGUACAGACGUACCGACUACUCCGCCACCAGUCAUGUCAUUAUUAAGUACAGCGUCAUGUGGAAAUAAAUGAGUAAGUUAUAAAGGAAAUGGAAUAAGAUGGUAAUCCUUUCAUACUGUUAAAGGGUAAAAUGAAAAGAAGACAUGAUCAACAAGAGGGGGGAAAUGCAUUAAAAAGCAAUGCACUAAAAUAAAUAUAGAGAAGAUUAAUAAAAUUAGCAUCUAACCGCACACAGUAGUAGUAAAGUGCAGAGUACGCAGAUAAAUAGAAUGGUAAGGUAUACGUAUAUGUGCAGAUGAGCGAGUAUCUACAGUGUAAAUGUGAACUGUAUUAAAAGGAUCUGGUUACAUGUCUUUUAGUCUGGGGGAGGAAACCCCGGAAGCACAUGCAAACUAUGCGCACACAGGGCGGAGGCGGGAUUCGAACCCCCAACCUCGGAUGGUGCAAUGCAAUCAUGCUAACCACUUUUGGACAUGCAGACAUUUGAUCAUGAAUAGUCCCUGUUAAUGAAGUCGAUAUACUUGAAUAAAACGACAAGGUUAGUUAGCUUUUUCAAUCAUUUAUUCAACAGAUAUUAAUAGAUGUGAGAUUCUUCUGUGGAAAAAGUAAGUACACCCUCGGCGUCAGAAGCUAGUAUUGCCCCCUUUAGCAGAAAUAAGUUCUUGUAGGUGUUUUGCAUAAUUGUCCACCAGGCUCGCUGGAAGUGUUGACCACUCUUCCAUGCAAUAUGUUUUCAACUGCAGGAUGUUUGAGGGUUUUCUUGCAUGUACGGUCCGUUUCAAAUCCCCCACAACGUUUCAAUGGGAUUCAAAUCCGGGCUUUGACAAGGCCAUUCCAUCACCCUCCAUUUCUUCUUUUUUUGAGCCGUUCCCUGGUGGAUUUGCUAGUGUGCUUAGGAUCAUUAUCCUGUUGACCGGUCCACUUUCAGUUCAACUUCAACUUUCAGACAGAUGGCCCCACGUUAUAUUCAAGCACUCUUUGAUAUGAUGCAGAAUUUAUUGUUGAGUCAAUGAAUGCGAGCUGUCCAGUCCUUGAGGCAGAGAAGCAACCCCAAACCAUAACAUUUCCACCACCGUGCUUGACAGUUGGUAUGAGGUGCUUCUCCUGAAAAGCUGUCGUUAGUCUGCACCAAACAUGUCUGCUGUUACUGUGGACAAACAACUCUAUCUUUGAUUCGUCUGUCCAGAGCACAAUUUUCCAAAAGUCCUGGUCUUUGCCUAUAUGUUCAUUUUCAAACUGUAGUCCCGCAAAGGCUUUUUCCUGGCACACCUCCCAUGCAGGUCAAAUUUGUGCAAUCUCUUUCUGAUUGUAGAAGCAUGCACUUUGACAACAACAGUUGCAAGAACUACUAGCAAAAGAUUUUUUGGGUUCUUGAAGACUUCUUUUCCUUUACAGUGGAAUGAUGUAUUUCAAAUAAUUUGUCUAUGUAUGUAUAUAUGUGUGUGUAUAUAUGUGUGUGUAUAUAUGUGUGUGUAUGUAUGUAUGUGUGUGUGUG